UGUACGUUAUUCCACUACUUUUAUGCUUUUCUGAUUUUCAUGCCAUAUGGUUUUUGCAGGUGCUACUUAGAGGUGACUAAGAUGUCACAUCGGUUACCAACACAAUGAUGCCAAAUUUUAAUCAUAAAUUGUGAAAACUGUCAAGUCAUGGAAAAAGAGUGAAGCUUGAAAAUGCUAACAAAUUGUCCAAUGGUUCCACUGCUGCUGAAGAGGUGUUAACGUCUUAGGGAAUCGGUCUGGCAAAAUCAGUUGAGAGCGCAACCAAAUCUGUAUCAGGAAUUGAGGAUUU
Molecule: long non-coding RNA, 289 nt
Organism: Lotus japonicus
Lineage: Eukaryota; Viridiplantae; Streptophyta; Magnoliopsida; Fabales; Fabaceae
Exons: 3
Source: RefSeq, a predicted model, not a curated record